GCUGGGCACAGUGGCGUAUUCCUGUAAUCCCAACAAUUUGGGAGGCUGAGGCAGGAGGAUCACAAGUUUGAGGCCAGCCUGGGCAACCUAGUGAGGUCCUGUCCCCA
This 107-nucleotide small RNA is filed under the name Marmota monax (woodchuck). Lineage: Eukaryota; Metazoa; Chordata; Mammalia; Rodentia; Sciuridae. The record is from RNAcentral.